Molecule: long non-coding RNA, 2330 nt
Organism: Gallus gallus (chicken)
Lineage: Eukaryota; Metazoa; Chordata; Aves; Galliformes; Phasianidae
Source: Ensembl
GUGGGUUCAGAGGGUCCUGUUGUCUUCUGGAAGGGUCUGAAGAUGUCCCAGAAGUGUCCUGGGUGUCCAAAGGGUGCUCAUGUGGGUCUGUGGAGCCAUCCAGAAAGUUUGGGGGUGUCCCAGAGAGGCCUUGGAGGGUACAGGGGGUCCUCCUGUUGAUCCAUGGGGUCCAUGGAUUCAUCCAGAAGGGUCUGGAGAUGUCCAAGAAGGUCCCUGUAGGGUGCAGGGGGUCCCCAGGUGUGUCCAGGGCAUCCUUGCAGUCAUCCAGAAGGGUCUGGGGAUGUCCCAGGACUGUCUUGGAGUGUCCAGGGAGUGUUCAUGUGGGUCUGGGGGGGUCUGAAGAUGUCCCAGGAGUGUCUUGGGGUGUCCAGGGGGUGCUCGUGUGGGUCUGGGGGGUCCUGGAGCCAUCCAGAAGGGUCUGGGGAUGGCCCAGAGAGGACUUGGAGGGUCUGGGGGGUCCUUUGGUGGGUUCAGAGGGUCCUGUUGUCUUCUGGAAGGGUCUGAAGAUGUCCCAGAAGUGUCUUGGGGUGUCCAGGGGGUGCUGCCACUGAGCCUCCCACUGUCCUAUGAGGGGACAAAAGGACCCCCCUGGGGGCAUUGCGUCAAAGUUGGGGACACUGUGAGCAGCUUGAGGACUUCCCAGGGGAAGUGGGGACACCGCGUCACUGUGUCACACCUCAAAGUUGGGGACACCCCCACCGUGUCACACCUCAAAGUUGGGGCAUCUCUGUGUCCCCCCGAUGGUGUCAGACCCCAAAGUUGGGGACACACCACAGUGUCACACCCCAAAGUUGGGGACACCCCCACAUGUUACACCCCAAAGUUGGGGUCUGUCCCAGAGGUGGGAGUGCCCCCACAGUCCCCACCAUGGCGUCACAUCCCAAAGUUGGGGACCCCCCUCUGGGGACCCAUUCUGUGCGCCCCCCAUUGCAGACUGCACUGUUCCCAUGGGGUGGGAGCGGGGGGCACCCUUUAUUUUUGGGAUUAAGGUUUAUUUCGUGAUAACGGGGGGUUGGGGGAUGCCCCCCCUACGUGAAUAGCAGGAAGAGGAGCGGCUGUGGGGCUCCGUGUGUCACACCGGGGAGUGCUUUGGGGACACUGCAGCAUCCCAGCCCCAUAGCCCCCAUGGCCCUAUAACCACUACAGCCCCAUCUCAUAGCCAUCCCAUAUCCAUAUCCCAUCCCAUAUCCCAUCCUGUAUCCAUAACCCUUCCAAUAUCCAAACCAUCAUAUCCAUCCCAAACCCAUACCCCAAAUCCAUCCCGUAUCCAUAUCCCAAAUCCAUCCCGUAUCCAAAUCCCAAAUCCAUCCCGUAUCCAUAUCCCAAAUCCAUCCCAUAUCCAUAGCCCAUCCCAUAUCCGUAUCCCAUCCCAUAUCUCAUCCCCUAUCCAUAUCCCAUCCCAACUCCAUGCCAAAUCUCUUUCUAUAUCCAUAUCACCUUAUCCAUCCCAUAACCAUCCCAAAUCCAUCUCAAAUCCAUAUCUCAUCCCAAACCGAUCCCAUCUCCUUAUCCAUCCCAUAUCAAUGUCCCAUCCCUUAUCCAAUCCCAUACCCCAUCCUAAAGCCAUCCCACAUCCAUACCCCCACAUCCCAUAUCCUAUCCCCAUCCUGUACCCCAUGUCCCAUAUCCAUUUCCAUCCCACAGCCUUCCUGAAUCCAUAUCCCCACAUCCAUCCCGUGUCCACCCCAUAUCCAUUCCAUAUACCUAUCCCAUCCUAUGAUCAUCCCAAUCCCAUCCCAUAUCCAUAUCCCGUCCCAACUCCACCCCAUAUCGUUCCCAUACCUUUGCCAAGUCUGUCCCGUACCCGUAUACCCACUUCCUGCAUCCCAACCCCAAUCCCAAUCCCACACCUCAUUCCCAAUCCCACAUGCCAAUCCCGUAUCCCGCAUCCCAAUCCCUAUCCCGAAUCCCAAUGCCAAUCCCACAUCCCAGCCCCAUGUACCAUCCGUCAAUCCAUCGCAAUCCCAAAUCUCAUAUCCCAGUCCUAACCCCAAUCCCACACCCCCAAUCCCAAUCCCACACCCCUAAUCCCAAUCCCAACCCCUAUUGCAAUAGGGCGCACUCCGGGCCCCCCCCGCAGCUCUAUCCCGCCCCCGGCCUCUCAUUGGUCAGAUGCAGCUCCGUCCCACCCCCGGCCUCUCAUUGGCUGAGGUGCAGCUCUAUCCCGCCGCCGGCCUCUCAUUGGCUGACGUGCAGCUUCGUCCCGCCCCCAUCCUCUCAGUGGUCAGACGCAGCUCCGUCCCGGCCCCGGACUCUCAUUGGCUGAGCCUGCAGUUCCAUCCUGCCUUCAGCCUCUCAUUGGUCAGGUGCAGCUCCUUCCCCUCCCCGGC